Molecule: transfer RNA, 77 nt
Filed under: Gammaproteobacteria bacterium
Lineage: Bacteria; Pseudomonadati; Pseudomonadota; Gammaproteobacteria
Description: tRNA-Val
Rfam family: tRNA
About the family: Transfer RNA (tRNA) molecules are approximately 80 nucleotides in length. Their secondary structure includes four short double-helical elements and three loops (D, anti-codon, and T loops). Further hydrogen bonds mediate the characteristic L-shaped molecular structure. tRNAs have two regions of fundamental functional importance: the anti-codon, which is responsible for specific mRNA codon recognition, and the 3' end, to which the tRNAs corresponding amino acid is attached (by aminoacyl-tRNA synthetases). tRNAs cope with the degeneracy of the genetic code in two manners: having more than one tRNA (with a specific anti-codon) for a particular amino acid; and 'wobble' base-pairing, i.e. permitting non-standard base-pairing at the 3rd anti-codon position.
Source: RNAcentral
AGGAGCGUAGCUCAGCUGGUUAGAGCGCCGCCUCGACAAGGCGGAGGUCCUCGGUUCAAUUCCGAGCGUUCCUACCA